AUUGAACGCUGGCGGCAUGCUUUACACAUGCAAGUCGAACGGCAGCGCGGGCUUCGGCCUGGCGGCGAGUGGCGAACGGGUGAGUAAUACAUCGGAACGUGCCCAGUAGUGGGGGAUAGCUCGGCGAAAGCCGGAUUAAUACCGCAUACGACCUGAGGGUGAAAGCGGGGGAUCUUCGGACCUCGCGCUAUUGGAGCGGCCGAUGGCAGAUUAGCUAGUUGGUGGGGUAAAGGCCUACCAAGGCGACGAUCUGUAGCUGGUCUGAGAGGACGACCAGCCACACUGGGACUGAGACACGGCCCAGACUCCUACGGGAGGCAGCAGUGGGGAACUUUGGACAAUGGGCGAAAGCCUGAUCCAGCAAUGCCGCGUGUGAUGAAGGCCUUCGGGUUGUAAAGCACUUUUGGCGGGAACGAAAAGGACUGUGCCAAUACCACGGUUCGAUGACGGUACCCGCAGAAUAAGCACCGGCUAACUACGUG
RNAcentral lists this ribosomal RNA (482 nucleotides) under uncultured bacterium. Its description in RNAcentral is "partial 16S ribosomal RNA". It matches the Rfam family "Bacterial small subunit ribosomal RNA", at positions 29 to 507 of the family's 1533-position model. The record is from RNAcentral.